This 134-nucleotide ribosomal RNA is filed under the name Escherichia coli O157:H- str. H 2687. RNAcentral describes it as "partial 16S ribosomal RNA". It matches the Rfam family "Bacterial small subunit ribosomal RNA", at positions 1 to 126 of the family's 1533-position model. The record is from RNAcentral. Lineage: Bacteria; Pseudomonadati; Pseudomonadota; Gammaproteobacteria; Enterobacterales; Enterobacteriaceae.
AAAUUGAAGAGUUUGAUCAUGGCUCAGAUUGAACGCUGGCGGCAGGCCUAACACAUGCAAGUCGAACGGUAACAGGAAGAAGACUUGCUUCUUUGCUGACGAGUGGCGGACGGGUGAGUAAUGUCUGGGAAACU